This 253-nucleotide ribosomal RNA is filed under the name uncultured bacterium. RNAcentral describes it as "partial 16S ribosomal RNA". It matches the Rfam family "Bacterial small subunit ribosomal RNA", at positions 524 to 776 of the family's 1533-position model. The record is from RNAcentral.
UACGAAGGGUGCAAGCGUUGUUCGGAAUCACUGGGCGUAAAGCGCGUGUAGGCGGUUUGAUAAGUCGAAUGUGAAAGCCCGAGGCUCAACCUCGGAAGUGCAUUCGAAACUGUCAGGCUUGAGUACGGGGGAGGGAAGUGGAAUUCCUGGUGUAGAGGUGAAAUUCGUAGAUAUCAGGAGGAACACCGGUGGCGAAGGCGGCUUCCUGGACCGAUACUGACGAUGAGACGCGAAAGCGUGGGGAGCAAACAGG